CCGUUUCCACCAUCGACCAUCCAUCACCUCACCUCCAAGCUCCAAGGAAUCUACCCUCGCUCUUCUCACAAAGCGCUGCAGCGGACAGCAGAGCAGCACGAGAGAGCCGAGCGCGAGGUGCAGGACCGCAAAACAGAGGCGAAGCGAAGGACCUAACCUACGUAGCACCGCUCAGCUCCGCUCCGCGGCGAUGGGUCACCGCCGCCACGAGGGGUCGUGCCGCUGCGAGCUCUGCGGCGCGCCCGCGGCCGUGCACUGCGCGGCGGACGAGGCUUUCCUCUGCGCCGCCUGCGACGCCAAGGUGCACGGCGCCAACUUCCUCGCGUCGCGGCACCGCCGCACGCGCCUCCGCCUCGCGGCCGCGGGACCCCCGCCGCCGGACGACGAGGCCGGGUACGGGUCCGCCGCGAGCUCCUGCGUGUCCACGGCCGACUCGGCGCCGCGGCCGAGGCGUGGGGCCCGCGCGCCGGCCGGGAGCGUGCGCCCCGAGGCCGUGCUCGAGGCCUGGGCCAAGCGGAUGGGGCUCGGGGCGGGGGCGCGCCGGCGCGUCCCGCCGCGCGUCGCCGUGGCCGCCGCUCUCUGGUGGGAGGCGGCGGGGCGGGGCGGGGUCGGGGGCCACGCCCAGGCGCUGCGGCGGCUGGAGGCGUGCGCGCACGUGCCGGCGAGGCUCGUGCUGGCCGUCGCCGCGUCCCUCGCGCGCGCGCGCGCGCUCUUGCGGAGGGCCGCCACGGACGCCGUGGAGGGCUGGGACGAGUGCGCGUGGGCGGGGCCCAAGUCCAGCCCGUCACGCUCUUGAUCCUCUCCCUCUUCCUUUGUCGUGCUGCUGCUACUGCUCGCUGAAGAAACAACACGAGGAGCAUAUGGACAUGGCGGCCGGCUGGAGAGAGGAAGAGGGACAUGCUUUGCGAUUUGUGGACCUUGUUCGUCUCAUUUAUUAGUUUGCCCAAGGUACAAGAAAACUUGUGGUUAGGAAUAGGGGAGAGAGCAUGCAUAAAGUGGGGUCUUAAUGUAGGUCAGUGUUUUUCAUUAGAGACUUGUGAGCUAACUGUGGCUCUCCAACCACGGCGGUACGUGCAAGUGCAAUGGUUCCCAGCAGUGUAUAUUUUCAGCAGCUCUGUAAUUCAAGUUUCAUUUCUUCUCUCA
Molecule: unclassified non-coding RNA, 1143 nt
Filed under: Zea mays
Lineage: Eukaryota; Viridiplantae; Streptophyta; Magnoliopsida; Poales; Poaceae
Description: misc RNA Zm00001eb274680
Source: RNAcentral